This is a ribosomal RNA of Bison bison bison, 119 nucleotides long. NCBI's taxonomy places the organism in Eukaryota, Metazoa, Chordata, Mammalia, Artiodactyla, Bovidae. The record is from Ensembl.
AUCUCCAGCCAUACUACGCUGAACAUGCCUGAUCUUGUCUGAUCUUGGAAGCGAAGAAGAGUGUGGCCUGGUUAGUACUUGGGUGGGAUACCAGCUGGGAAUACUGAGUGCUGUAGGCU